This is a long non-coding RNA of Megachile rotundata (alfalfa leafcutting bee), 2652 nucleotides long. RefSeq lists it as uncharacterized. NCBI's taxonomy places the organism in Eukaryota, Metazoa, Arthropoda, Insecta, Hymenoptera, Megachilidae. The record is from RefSeq and is a predicted model, not a curated record.
AUGGUGGUCAAGAGCGAUGCGUAUCAUCCACCAUAAAACCAGAGUAUUUACAGACAUUAGACCAAUUUUAUAGAACUCGAUAAAUAAUCAAAUUCUCUAAUAAAAACCUCAGAAUUGACAGAGUAACAGAGUUGAAGAGUAGCUUAGUGUAAAGUAUUUAAUUUAAAAAGUUGGAAGCAUUUUGAGAGCCUCAUUGUUCAAUGCAUUUUGAAAAUUUACAUUUUCGCGCGUGUCGUCUCAAAAUGGCGUCGCUAACUCCAUCUAGCAGUCAAGCACGAAACUAUCGAAGAAAAAAAUCGCGUUUUUAAAAAAAAUAAAGCAUAUUUGGAUUUUGCUAAUGCUAAAAAAUUGUUCUACAGGACAAAUAUAUUUGGAGGGAUUAUUUUAGAAUGCAUUUAAAGUUCUGUAUUUGUCAAUUUAAGAUGUUGCACUUUUAUGGGUUUUAAAAAGCUUAGCCAUCUAGCGGUAGGAAGUGGGAACUAAUUGAACUGAACUUCGAAUUAUAUUUUAUACAUUUAUUGAUUGUUCCGAGCUGUAAAUACUUUCAAAAUAUUCUAAGAUUUAUUAAUAUUACUUUCCGAUGCAUGUUAUAAUCUGUUUAGUUGGAAGAAAUUAUUAUUUAACGAACUAAUUUAAGAACAGUACAACUGGUGUCACCUGCCACUGAACUGCGGUACUAGUACAACAAAAAUUUGUAUAUUUCUUUAAAAUUAGCAACCUGACGUAAUUUCGGAAUAAAUUAUAUAAAUAAAUAAAAGUAUGACAUCUCUCUAAAGAUAUUCGUGAAAGAAGUCCUGUGAAAAAAUGUUCUGCCGACACAAUACACAUGUCAUAAAAGAAUCGUAUGAAAUUCGUACAAAAUAUGUAACGAAAAAAGAAACAGUUACAUGAUUAAAAGAAGUCAGAAGGAUGAAUCGGUCAGACCAAUUUUGGCAUCAAGACAGAAAGUUCUUUAGGUAACCGCAAAUAGCAAGUAUUUUCUGGGAAAAAAAAAGAUAGGUAUGAUGGAGGUCAAUGUUUCGUUCAAAGCGCCAAAGUGACUAAUACAUCACCGAUGCGCAUUCAAGUUUCUACUAAAAGUUUUGCAGCAGUACUGCAGUAUUUUUACCCUUGACAACUCGUCGUGUAAUCGUGGUAAAUGUUCGUGCGCACUCGACGUGAAAUCGUUACACCACCCUAAACUCUGCACGAACUUCAUGGCAUUGGAAAUUUUGAUUUUGUUUGUCUGCAGUGGUUCUCAAAACAAAUAUCGGAAGGAACAAACACCGUAUUAGCUAUAUAUUGUACUUCAAUGUAUCCGUCUCUUCAUGGUCCGCCAGUACCGUGUUUUACCCUAGUACUUUUCAUGCUACCAUGAAUUAACAAUUUUUAUUACAACGAUACCAUAAUAACUAGCUUAUAAUGAAGCCUAGUACCGAGGUGUUAUUUAGGAAAGGAAUAAUAAUACAUUUCAGUCGAGUAACGGAUAAUAGCUAUUUAUGAAUUCAAAUAACAGCUCACUUAAGAAAUCUAACAAGUGCUGCCAUCUAUCGCGAAAGGAAGAUUUAAUUUAUCUGCCAAAAACGUUAAAAAAGGUGUCACAGAUUAGAUCAGCGUUAUUAUUUAAGAAACACUUGUUUUUAGUGCAUCAUACGAAUUCAAUUAAGAUUAACGUUACAGUAGCGAGUAAUGUUGGCAUAACUUUUGAGCGUGAUUUUAUUAUCACACUUUGGCAAACAGAAAAGCAGCACAAUGAAAACUUAUCAGCCGUUUUCAAGCGGGGCAACAAUAAAACGUUUACUCACAUUUAACACCUCAUUAAAGAAUUAACAAGCCUGAAAUAGGUACUUGUGUGUCGUGUAUGUUUACAAGCCUAGAUAAGUCUGCUUAGUUUGCCUGGGACGUGGCGGCAGAUUAUCGCCGUCACAAUAUCAUGACUGGAAUUGCAACGCUGUUGCAAUUAUUAUGUUACGUGACGGGAAAAACACAGGCAAUUUUUUCCUACUUAUCAAUGUCAAAUGAUUUGUAUCUAUUUUCACCUUCUGGAUAUUUAUGGUACCAAGGUACAAAUAUGGAAGCAUACUUAUGAUGGGUAAUUAUAAUAAUUAUGGCACUGCACACACUCGUUUCUAAUUCGGCAACGGAAAUUGCCAGUUUCUUCGGCUAGUAAUUAACACGAACAAUGGGAUAUACGGUGUUUCAAUUUCGUUUUAACAGAAUCGAAUUCAUCCGUGAGACAAGCUCCGUGUUGAAGAGACGACACCGCGGAGUGCUCUCUUGUUAACGAUUUACUCGAUGCUGGGUACAAUGCGCGUGUAACGAAGUAAAAGAAAGAAAGAGCGAAAAGGAAAAGAAAAGGGAAAAACCGUAAUCUUGAAAGCGGGUCGGAUCUCGAGACUUCACCGACCUAGACAUCACAUUGUAUGUGUCAUUCGUGAUAUUAAAAACCUGGGUCACGUUGCUAUCGAUCAUUGAUGUACCGCUAAAACAUCUUGCAAAUUUUAUAGAACAUGUGUACAUUUUGAAUGUCUAUGAAUGUAUGUGUCAUGUCUAUGGAUGUCUAUGCUUUGUCUAUGAAUGUCUAUGUCUUGUCUAAGUGAGCUACAACAGCUAAAUGUGCAUGUGAACCUGUGGAACUUAUUUGAAGAUCUCUCAAAUCCUCAGAUCUCCAAG